This 117-nucleotide ribosomal RNA is filed under the name uncultured bacterium. RNAcentral describes it as "partial 16S ribosomal RNA". It matches the Rfam family "Bacterial small subunit ribosomal RNA", at positions 1357 to 1482 of the family's 1533-position model. The record is from RNAcentral.
CUACGGUGAAUACGUUCCCGGACCUUGUACGCACCGCCCGUCAAGCCAUGGAAGCUGGGUGUACCUAAAGUCGAUAACCGUAAGGAGUCGCCUAGGGUAAAACUAGUAACUGGGGCU